AACGCGAAGAACCUUACCGCCCUUUACAUUCCUGGAAACCCCCGGAAACGGGGGAUGUCCUUUAGGAGCCGGGAAACAGGUGGUGCAUGGCUGUUGUCAGCUCGUGUCGUGAGAUGUUGGGUUAAGUCCCGCAACGAGCGCAACCCUUUUUCUUAGUUGCCAGCGAGUCAGGUCGGGAACUCUAAGGAGACUGCCGGGGAAAAACGGGAGGAAGGUGGGGAUGACGUCAAGUCAUCAUGGCCCUUAUGGGCUGGGCUACACACGUGCUACAAUGGUCGGCACAAAGGGCUGCAACCCCGCGAGGGGGAGCCAAUCCCAAAAAACCGUUCCUAGUCCGGAUUGCAGUCUGCAAUUGGACCCCAUGAAUUGGGAAUCGCUAGUAAUCCCGAAACAACACCCCCGGGGAAAACCUUUCCCGGGUCUUGUACACACCG
Molecule: ribosomal RNA, 434 nt
Filed under: uncultured bacterium
Lineage: Bacteria
Description: bacterial SSU rRNA
Rfam family: Bacterial small subunit ribosomal RNA
Source: RNAcentral